AAAUUUGCCUUGCAAGAUGGCUCGUCGAAGAGAACGUCUUCAUACCUGCCAGUUCAGCUUCUUGUGUGUGUGGCGCGGUGACGAGUUGGGGUGGGGAAGCACCAACACCAUGGACGAUUUGGGCAUUGCUGCAUCCACCUAGCUCCAACCAGCGCCGGGACAGAGGAGACCCCGACGCUAUGGACAAGCAGCGGCGAUUUGAUCUACUUCAUCCUCCACCUCGACUCGAUUUCAUCUGUUUCCCCUGCUGCAACGUCGCCUACCUCAAUUCAAUUCAAUUCAGGCAGUAGCAAACAUCACUCGAGAUGCAGGACGAGCUCCUAGUUCGGGUAAGCACCCCCACCCCCAUCCCCAUGCUUGUUUUAGUCUCCAAGGCUGCUUCUUUCUUGUGUGUGCUUGCUGAUGACGCUUCUUUUCUCCAUGCGUGGAGUGGAGGAACCUCAACAGGCAACAACAAGUCAUCUCCAUGGAUUUUGUCACUCCAGUUCCAUCACAUCUCCAUGGACGGCAUCCACAAACGACCAAGAUGACGACCAGGAGCCCGGCGACGGCGGCGACUACAACCUCUCCGUCUCCGGUGACUACAUCUCCUACCUCUACCUCCCUCUCUUGUGCUCCUGUGUAGGAGGCGUAUCACUGAAAUGCUGCUCCUUCUAAUUCAUAUAUGUAUAUGGUUGACGAGUCAGGACAAGCAACCAUGCCUAAUUAAGAAAGCUGGGCUAUUUUUCUGGUUUUCUAGUGGGAUUCUUGGCCGAAAUAUAGGAAGUUGUGCUUUUUUACUUGCCCAGGCUUGAGUAGUUGCCUGUUUUGUUGAAGAAGAAAAGAAGCAGACUGGUUCCCUACUUUUUAAUAAUAUGGACUACAUACGGAGCAAAAUGAGUGAAUCUACACUCUAAAGUAUGUCUAUAUACAUCCGUGUGUAGUUCAUAUUGAAAUCUCUACAAAGACUUACAUUUAGAAACGAAGGGAAUAGAUUAGAUGAUACGUACUUGAUUAGAUGGUUUCAAGAGACAAAAGUUUCAUGCAAUUAUGUUUAUUCAUAUCCCUCAAUGCAGAGGGAAUGCCCAAGCCAACGCUUAUGGGAAUAAUUGUUUGAGUGAGAGCAGCUAUUUUUUUUAUUUACUAGUCACAGUAGGUGGAUUCCACUUUAAAAAAGUUCUACAUGGUGCAUACUGUUUGUCUACUGCCCUAUUGUGACCUCUAUUUUCUUUCCAUUGUUUACCAGAGAUUUGCCUUGCAAGAAGGUUAGUCGAAGAGGAUGUCUUCAUACUAUGCCAGUUUAGCUUUUUUGUGUGCCCGACGAAUCUCAGCUGCAGCUGGCAAAAAAACCAACCAACCCUAUCCAUCACCGGAGUCCCUCUCUUCCGGAUAGCAGAUGUAAACUCAAGCCCCUGCACCUGUCAAAAUUUACAUUUUAUCCAUCUUCCUUUUCAUCGGCAUAACAACACUUCAUAUGCUCUUCAAGCAAACUGAUUUCUGGUGUUCUGAAUAGAUUCAUAAAAAUUAUCUUGUUUACUGGGCAUGUAACGUCAAAUGGUUCUUGCUCUAAACAGAUUAAAAAAACCCUAUAAUAUUCUCUCAUUUACUGGGCAUGUAACUCCACUAGAUUUGGUACAACUCUGUUAGGUUCAGACUGUGUUCGGAAUCAAAGUAUUUUUGGAGUUUUUGAAGAAUACCGUGGUUUUUGAAAAUAAAUAUCAGUUUUAAAUACUAUAAUGUGUUUAGCACCAAUAAAGACUGCAGUUUGACAAACCGUAGUAUCUCUAAAACUAAGGUCUUUAUGUAGUAACUGAAGAAGAGGUCUCCGUGUCUUUCUUAAAAACUCAGAAAAUGCUCGCUCGAUGGUCUCUCUGUCCAUCUUCUGGCCAUUGUUGCAUGUGAGUCCUAUCUAUACUAGCUAUCUGAUCGACCUAUCAAUCCAGAGGCGCACAUACAAGUUUCAUCUUCCUGCGGUAGCCCUCGAACUCGGUGUCCUGCUUGUAGUAGCAUGGCUCUGUUCACAACAACAUAGCACUGUCUGCCGCCUAGUACCACUGCUCCAUGUGGAUGCACAACUAUUCCAUCUUUGAUCAAUUAUAAGUGAUGACUCUACUGCAUACCCUAGCAUCUAUGGUCCGUCUUCGAUCAUUACUGUAGGCACUAUCAAUUAGAUUAGAUGAUACUUGAUAAAAUGGUUUCAAGAGACAAAAAUGCUCGAUCGUACUUGAUUGAUUCAGGAAUUAAUGCUCUUCUGGGCAUAGUCACAUGCAGUUAUGACUUAGUUCAUAUUCCUCAAUGCAGAGUGAAUGACCAAACCAACAGUUCCUAUGGGAAUAAAUGUUUCAGUGAGAGCAGUGAUGUUUUUUGUUAUAUUUACUAGUCACAGAAGCUGGAUUCCUAUAAACAAAAAAAAUCAUAGAAGGUGCAUACUGUUUGUCUGCUGCCCAAUUGUGACCUUUAUUCUCUUUCCAUUUGUGACCAGAAAUUUGCCUUGCAAGAUGGCUCGUCGAAGAGAACGUCUUCAUACCUGCCAGUUCAGCUUCUUGUGUGUGUGGCGCGGGGACGAGUUGGGGUGGGGAAGCACCAACACCAUGGACGAUUUGGGCAUUGCUGCAGCCACCUAGCUCCAACCAGCGUCGGACAUAGGAGACCCCGACGCUAUGGACAAGCAGCGGCGAUUUGAUCUACUUCAUCCUCCACCUCGACUCGAUUUCAUCUGUUUCCCCUGCUGCAACGUCGCCUACCUCAAUUCAAUUCAAUUCAGGCAGUAGCAAACAUCACUCGAGAUGCAGGACGAGCUCCUAGCUCGGGUAAGCACCCCCACCCCAUCCCCAUGCUUGUUUUAGUCUUCCGAGGCUGCUUCUUUCUUGUGUGUGCUUGCUGAUGACACUUCUUUCUUGUGUGUGCUUGCUGAUGACGCUUCUUUUCUCCAUGCAUGGAGUGGAGGAACCUCAACAGGCAACAACAAGUCAUCUCCAUGGAUUCUGUCACUCCAGUUCCAUCAUAUCUCCAUGGACGGCAUCCACAAACGACCAAGAUGACGACCAGGAGCCCGGCGACGGCGGCGACUACAACCACUCCGUCUCCG
RNAcentral lists this long non-coding RNA (3067 nucleotides) under Triticum aestivum (bread wheat). Its description in RNAcentral is "long non-coding RNA (TAES_LNC012457)". The record is from RNAcentral. Lineage: Eukaryota; Viridiplantae; Streptophyta; Magnoliopsida; Poales; Poaceae.